GACGAACGCUGGCGGCGUGCCUAACACAUGCAAGUCAACUUGACUGAAGGAGCAAUCUGACAGUAGAGUGGCGCAAGGGUGCGUAACGCGUAAGUAACUUGCCCAAGGUAAGGAAUAACGUCGAGAAAUCGGCGCUAAUACCUCAUAAUGCAGCGGAUCCGCAUGGAUAUGUUGUUAAAGGUUUACCGCCUUGGGAUAGGCUUGCGUCUGAUUAGCUAGUUGGUGUGGUAACGGCACACCAAGGCUACGAUCAGUAACUGGUCUGAGAGGAUGAUCAGCCACACUGGAACUGAGACACGGUCCAGACUCCUACGGGAGGCAGCAGUGAGGAAUAUUGGGCAAUGCUCGAAAGAGUGACCCAGCAACGCCGCGUGGAGGAUGAAGGUAUUCUAUAUCGUAAACUCCUGUGAGAGCAGACGAAAGACAGAUUAUAAUCUGGAUGACUGUAUGCUCAGAGGAAG
RNAcentral lists this ribosomal RNA (461 nucleotides) under uncultured bacterium. Its description in RNAcentral is "bacterial SSU rRNA". It matches the Rfam family "Bacterial small subunit ribosomal RNA", at positions 28 to 490 of the family's 1533-position model. The record is from RNAcentral.